Molecule: non-coding RNA, 87 nt
Filed under: Bacillus sp. (in: firmicutes)
Lineage: Bacteria; Bacillati; Bacillota; Bacilli; Caryophanales; Bacillaceae
Description: Bacillus sp. c-di-GMP sequence
Rfam family: c-di-GMP-I riboswitch aptamer
About the family: GEMM was predicted in a large-scale screen for bacterial structured RNA regulatory elements. Genes associated with GEMM are involved in a diverse array of functions, including chemotaxis regulation, signal transduction, secretion and chitin.
Source: RNAcentral
UCUAAUCCAGGGCAAAUUUUACGAAAGUAAAAGACGCAAAGCUGCGGGCCUAAAGCAGGUUUCUGCCAUGGCAGCCGGGCUGCACAG